Long non-coding RNA from Bubalus bubalis (water buffalo), 628 nucleotides. RefSeq lists it as uncharacterized. The transcript is spliced from 2 exons. The record is from RefSeq and is a predicted model, not a curated record. NCBI's taxonomy places the organism in Eukaryota, Metazoa, Chordata, Mammalia, Artiodactyla, Bovidae.
GCAGCAGCAGUACUCACUGUGGGUUCAGUAUGUGUCUCCUUAAUGAAAGAUGGUUCAAAUUAGUCUAACAUUAAACACUCUACCUUGGGUGAACUUAAGCAGUAACCAUUUUCAGAGGAGUCAUCAAUGCCAGCAUGUGUCAACAGAAGCUGUCUCAGGCCCAGCAAGGGAGUGAGCCCCUUGACGGUCUAGCCAGCCUUCUUUCUGCCUCUCAGCUCUGCUUGUUUCAUCUACGAAGGCAACUGUUAGGAUAUUUUUUAGAUUCUCCCCUUCCCUUCCACUAAUACUUCAGCAGAUGCCCUGAACUUCCAAUUGGUAGCUCAUUAACAACCUUUUGAAUCAAUUAGAGAUAAAGUAAGGGGUCAGAUCCAGCAUGUGAGAAUAGAAUAGGCCUGCCUAUACCUAGCUCUUCUGUUUUUGUAGUGCUUGUUUACAUGUCUGAUCCCCUUGCAUUCCACAGGACCCUUGAUUUGCAUAUCUUUAAAGUCUAUUUUCUUAUUGUUGGCCCACAGGCCAACUCACUACUGUCUUGGCCAACCUUAGUGAAGCAAACUAACCUCCAUAAUGUGGGUGAGCCUCAUUCAAUCAAUUGAAAGCCUUAAAAGAAAAACAUUGGUCUCCCGCAAAA